RNAcentral lists this ribosomal RNA (253 nucleotides) under uncultured bacterium. Its description in RNAcentral is "partial 16S ribosomal RNA". It matches the Rfam family "Bacterial small subunit ribosomal RNA", at positions 524 to 776 of the family's 1533-position model. The record is from RNAcentral.
UACGUAGGGUGCAAGCGUUGUCCGGAAUUAUUGGGCGUAAAGAGCUCGUAGGUGGCCUGUCGCGUCGGCUGUGAAAACUCGGGGCUCAACUCCGAGCUUGCAGUCGAUACGGGCAGGCUAGAGUUCGGCAGGGGAGACUGGAAUUCCUGGUGUAGCGGUGAAAUGCGCAGAUAUCAGGAGGAACACCGGCGGCGAAGGCGGGUCUCUGGGCCAUAACUGACGCUGAGGAGCGAAAGCGUGGGGAGCGAACAGG